Molecule: ribosomal RNA, 490 nt
Filed under: uncultured bacterium
Lineage: Bacteria
Description: partial 16S ribosomal RNA
Rfam family: Bacterial small subunit ribosomal RNA
Source: RNAcentral
AUUGAACGCUGGCGGCAGGCCUAACACAUGCAAGUCGAACGGUAACAGGAAGCAGCUUGCUGCUUUGCUGACGAGUGGCGGACGGGUGAGUAAUGUCUGGGAAACUGCCUGAUGGAGGGGGAUAACUACUGGAAACGGUAGCUAAUACCGCAUAACGUCGCAAGACCAAAGAGGGGGACCUUAGGGCCUCUUGCCAUCGGAUGUGCCCAGAUGGGAUUAGCUAGUAGGUGGGGUAACGGCUCACUUAGGCGACGAUCCCUAGCUGGUCUGAGAGGAUGACCAGCCACACUGGAACUGAGACACGGUCCAGACUCCCACGGGAGGCAGCAGUGGGGAAUAUUGCACAAUGGGCGCAAGCCUGAUGCAGCCAUGCCGCGUGUAUGAAGAAGGCCUUCGGGUUGUAAAGUACUUUCAGCGGGGAGGAAGGGAGUAAAGUUAAUACCUUUGCUCAUUGACGUUACCCGCAGAAGAAGCACCGGCUAACUCCGUG